This 84-nucleotide transfer RNA is filed under the name Musa acuminata subsp. malaccensis (wild Malaysian banana). It matches the Rfam family "tRNA". From Rfam's summary of the family: Transfer RNA (tRNA) molecules are approximately 80 nucleotides in length. Their secondary structure includes four short double-helical elements and three loops (D, anti-codon, and T loops). Lineage: Eukaryota; Viridiplantae; Streptophyta; Magnoliopsida; Zingiberales; Musaceae. The record is from Rfam by way of RNAcentral.
CCGACCUUAGCUCAGUUGGUAGAGCGGAGGACUGUAGUCGGUUCAGACAUCCUUAGGUCGCUGGUUCGAAUCCGGCAGGUCGGA